CCUACGGGAGGCAGCAGUGAGGAAUAUUGGUCAAUGGACGAGAGUCUGAACCAGCCAAGUAGCGUGAAGGAUGACUGCCCUAUGGGUUGUAAACUUCUUUUAUACAGGAAUAAAACGCGUCACGUGUACCUUUUUGCAUGUACUUUAUGAAUAAGGAUCGGCUAAUUCCGUGCCAGCAGCCGCGGUAAUACGGAGGGUCCGAGCGUUAUCCGGAUUUAUUGGGUUUAAAGGGAGCGUAGAUGGGUUGUUAAGUCAGUUGUGAAAGUUUGGGGCUCAACCGGAAAAUUGCAAUGGAUACUGGCAGGCUUGAGUCCAGUGGAGGUAGGCGGAAUUCGUGGUGUAGCGGUGAAAUGCUUAGAUAUCACGAAGAACCCCGAUUGCGAAGGCAGCUUACUACAGUGUGACUGACGCUGAUGCUCGAAAGUGUGGGUAUCAAACAGGAUUAGAUACCCUAGUAGUC
RNAcentral lists this ribosomal RNA (460 nucleotides) under uncultured bacterium. RNAcentral's name for it is "partial 16S ribosomal RNA". It matches the Rfam family "Bacterial small subunit ribosomal RNA", at positions 338 to 795 of the family's 1533-position model. The record is from RNAcentral.